RNAcentral lists this ribosomal RNA (445 nucleotides) under uncultured bacterium. RNAcentral describes it as "partial 16S ribosomal RNA". It matches the Rfam family "Bacterial small subunit ribosomal RNA", at positions 354 to 796 of the family's 1533-position model. The record is from RNAcentral.
GUGAGGAAUAUUGGUCAAUGGGCGGGAGCCUGAACCAGCCAAGUCGCGUGAAGGAAGAAGGAUCUAUGGUUCGUAAACUUCUUUUGCAGGGGAAUAAAGUGCAGGACGUGUCCUGUUUUGUAUGUACCCUGAGAAUAAGGAUCGGCUAACUCCGUGCCAGCAGCCGCGGUAAUACGGAGGAUCCGAGCGUUAUCCGGAUUUAUUGGGUUUAAAGGGUGCGUAGGUGGUUUGAUAAGUCAGUGGUGAAAGUUUGCAGCUUAACUGUAAAAAUGCCGUUGAAACUGUCGGACUUGAGUGUAAAUGAGGUAGGCGGAAUGCGUGGUGUAGCGGUGAAAUGCAUAGAUAUCACGCAGAACUCCGAUUGCGAAGGCAGCUUACUAAGCUACAACUGACACUGAAGCACGAAAGCGUGGGGAUCAAACAGGAUUAGAAACCCGGGUAGUCC